GAUGAACGCUGGCGGCGUGCCUAAUACAUGCAAGUCGAGCGAACGGACGAGAAGCUUGCUUUUCUGAUGUUAGCGGCGGACGGGUGAGUAACACGUGGAUAACCUACCUAUAAGACUGGGAUAACUUCGGGAAACCGGAGCUAAUACCGGAUAAUAUUUUGAACCGCAUGGUUCAAAAGUGAAAGACGGUCUUGCUGUCACUUAUAGAUGGAUCCGCGCUGCAUUAGCUAGUUGGUAAGGUAACGGCUUACCAAGGCAACGAUGCAUAGCCGACCUGAGAGAGAGAUCGACCACACUGGAACUGAGACACGGUCCAGGCUCAUACAGGAGGCAGCAGUAGGGAAGCAUCCGCAAUGGGCGAAAACCUAACGGAGCAACGCCACGUGAAUGAUGAAGGUCUUCGGAUCGUAGAACUAUGUUAAUAGGGAGGAACAUAUGUGUAAGUAACUGUGCACAACUUAACGGUACCUAAUCAAAGAAGCACGGCUAACUACGUG
RNAcentral lists this ribosomal RNA (497 nucleotides) under uncultured bacterium. RNAcentral's name for it is "partial 16S ribosomal RNA". It matches the Rfam family "Bacterial small subunit ribosomal RNA", at positions 28 to 507 of the family's 1533-position model. The record is from RNAcentral.